GAUGAACGCUGGCGGCGUGUCUAAGGCAUGCAAGUCGAAUGUGGUAGCAAUACUGCAUGGCAAACGGGAGAGUAACACAUUGGCAAUCUACCCCUAAGACGAGGAUAACCUUGCGAAAGUGAGGAUAAUACUCGAUAGUAUUAACAAGCUCAAGCUUGUUAAUUAAAGCUCCGGCGCUUAGGGAGGAGCCUAUGGCCUAUCAGCUUGUUGGUGAGGUAAUAGCUCACCAAGGCUACGACGGGUAUGGGGUGCGAGAGCAUGGCCCCACUCACUGGGACUGAGACACUGCCCAGACUCCUACGGGAGGCUGCAGUCAAGAAUCUUCCUCAAUGGGCGAAAGCCUGAAGGAGCGACGCCGCGUGUAUGAAGAAGCCUUUUCGGGGUGUAAAAUACUUUUAACUGUGACGAAACAAUGACGGUAGCAGUUGAAUAAGGGGCUGCUAACCUCGUGCCAGCAGCCGCGGUAAAACGUGCGUG
RNAcentral lists this ribosomal RNA (477 nucleotides) under uncultured bacterium. RNAcentral describes it as "bacterial SSU rRNA". It matches the Rfam family "Bacterial small subunit ribosomal RNA", at positions 28 to 533 of the family's 1533-position model. The record is from RNAcentral.